This is a non-coding RNA of Stegodyphus mimosarum, 73 nucleotides long. NCBI's taxonomy places the organism in Eukaryota, Metazoa, Arthropoda, Arachnida, Araneae, Eresidae. The record is from Rfam.
GCCUUCGUGGUGUAGUGGUCAGCACGCUCGGCGCGUAUUCGUGAGGCCCAUGGUUCGAGUCCCGGCGACGGCA